RNAcentral lists this unclassified non-coding RNA (258 nucleotides) under uncultured Mortierella. RNAcentral's name for it is "sequence contains ITS2". The record is from RNAcentral. Lineage: Eukaryota; Fungi; Mortierellomycota; Mortierellomycetes; Mortierellales; Mortierellaceae.
AACACCUCAAACUCCAAGAUUUGUUUCUUUGGAGUUUGGAUUUGAGUAAUCCUAACGAGAAAGCAAUUUCUUGGCAGGUCACUUGAAAUUCAGGUGCAGCUGAACAUUCUUCUGAGCUAAAAGCAUAUUUAUUUAGUCCUGUCGAACUUUCGAGUUUUUAUGGAUUAUUACUUUUUGCUGCAGCUAAUAUAAAGGUUGAAUGGUUUCAAAUGCUGACUGAUGCAGGAAUUUAUCGGUUUCGUUUUUGUAAACUGUUAA